GGAAGCGUGCCCGAAU
This 16-nucleotide transfer RNA is filed under the name Phrynosoma cornutum. RNAcentral's name for it is "partial tRNA-Ile". The record is from RNAcentral. Lineage: Eukaryota; Metazoa; Chordata; Lepidosauria; Squamata; Phrynosomatidae.